GACGAACGCUGGCGGCGUGCUUAACACAUGCAAGUCGAACGGAAAGGCCCAGCUUGCUGGGUACUCGAGUGGCGAACGGGUGAGUAACACGUGGGUGAUCUGCCCUGCACUCUGGGAUAAGCCUGGGAAACUGGGUCUAAUACCGGAUAUGACCAACUGUCGCAUGGUGGUUGGUGGAAAGCUUUUGCGGUGUGGGAUGGGCGCGCGGCCUAUCAGCUUGUUGGUGGGGUAAUGGCCUACCAAGGCGACGACGGGUAGCCGACCUGAGAGGGUGAUCGGCCACACUGGGACUGAGACACGGCCCAGACUCCUACGGGAGGCAGCAGUGGGGAAUAUUGCACAAUGGGCGCAAGCCUGAUGCAGCGACGCCGCGUGAGGGAUGACGGCCUUCGGGUUGUAAACCUCUUUCACCAGGGACGAAGCGUGAGUGACGGUACCUGGAGAAGAAGCACCGGCCAACUACGUG
This 466-nucleotide ribosomal RNA is filed under the name uncultured bacterium. RNAcentral's name for it is "partial 16S ribosomal RNA". It matches the Rfam family "Bacterial small subunit ribosomal RNA", at positions 28 to 507 of the family's 1533-position model. The record is from RNAcentral.